This 468-nucleotide ribosomal RNA is filed under the name uncultured bacterium. Its description in RNAcentral is "partial 16S ribosomal RNA". It matches the Rfam family "Bacterial small subunit ribosomal RNA", at positions 28 to 507 of the family's 1533-position model. The record is from RNAcentral.
GACGAACGCUGGCGGCGUGCUUAACACAUGCAAGUCGAACGGAAAGGCCCUGCUUUUGUGGGGUGCUCGAGUGGCGAACGCGUGAGUAACACGUGAGUAACCUGCCCUUGACUUUGUGAUAUAUCUACGAAACUGGGGCUAUUACCGGAUAGGAGCUCCUGCUGCGUGUUGGUGGUUGGAAAGUUUCGGCGGUUGGGGAUGGACUCGCGGCUUAUCAGCUUGUUGGUGGGGUAGUGGCUUACCAAGGCUUUGAAGGGUAGCCGGCCUGAGAGGGUGACCGGCCACAUUGGGACUGAGAUACGGCCCAGACUCGUACGGGAGGCAGCAGUGGGAAAUAUUGCGCAAUGGGCGGAAGCCUGAUGCAGAAACGCCGCGUGCGGGAUGACGGCCUUCGGGUUGUGAACCACUGUCGCCGGUGACGAAGCGGGAGUGACGGUAAUGGGUAAAGAAGCACCGGCUAACUACGUG